UACGUAGGGUGCGAGCGUUAAUCGGAAUUACUGGGCGUAAAGGGCGCGUAGGCGGACAGUUUAGUCAGAGGUGAAAGCCCAGGGCUCAACCUUGGAAUUGCCUUUGAUACUGGCUGUCUUGAGUACGGGAGAGGUGAGUGGAACUCCGAGUGUAGAGGUGAAAUUCGUAGAUAUUCGGAAGAACACCAGUGGCGAAGGCGACUCACUGGCCCGUUACUGACGCUGAGGCGCGAAAGCGUGGGGAGCAAACAGG
This 253-nucleotide ribosomal RNA is filed under the name uncultured bacterium. Its description in RNAcentral is "partial 16S ribosomal RNA". It matches the Rfam family "Bacterial small subunit ribosomal RNA", at positions 524 to 776 of the family's 1533-position model. The record is from RNAcentral.